GAUGCUCAUCAUGCUGGUUUACUAUGUCUCGCUCCUGUUGUAAUAUUCCCCUGUUUUCUUUUUGUAUUUAUAAUACAAAUAUAUAAAUCGGCAUACUUAAGUUUGCUCUCACGAUUCAAUAAAAUUAAUUGACUCUAGGCAACUGAAUACUGAAGUUGUUUCAUAGCAGCUGCAGAGAACUGUAUUUACAUUGUGAUAUCGUCAUGCU
This 208-nucleotide long non-coding RNA is filed under the name Mytilus galloprovincialis (Mediterranean mussel). The record is from RNAcentral. Lineage: Eukaryota; Metazoa; Mollusca; Bivalvia; Mytilida; Mytilidae.